This 1165-nucleotide long non-coding RNA is filed under the name Helianthus annuus (common sunflower). RNAcentral describes it as "hypothetical non coding rna". The record is from RNAcentral. Lineage: Eukaryota; Viridiplantae; Streptophyta; Magnoliopsida; Asterales; Asteraceae.
GAAGAAGGUGUGUAUUGAUGAUCUCGAUGGAAUUUAUUUUUUAUUGUGAUCUUAAACUUGUUCAUUUAGUGAAGAGUUUAUUGAUUAUGUGUUGAGUAAUGUUUCAUUUUAAAUGAUUUGUUAGGUAGUUAGGGAUGGUGAAAACUAACGAUUGGCGAUGAAUUACGUCUUUCGGGAUUUUAAACUUGGUUAAUCGUGUGAGGUGUAAAAUAUAGAUUAACAUGUUAAAUGGAUUUCUUUUUACACGUAACACAACAUUGCCAUUUAAUUCUAUGACUAAUUUUAAAAUGUUAAUUUUACAUGUAUAAUAAAUAAUCAAGAGGCUCAAGGAUGUCAACUGAAAUUGUGAGGUGAGAGGGGUGAUAUCGGAUUUCUUUAACCUAUGUCCUGAUGUAAAGACUCAUACAAAGGCUCCAGCAGAGGCGAUUGAAAAUCUUCUCACACCACUUGGACUGCAGAAAGUAAAGACGGAAAGGAUACAAAGAUUAUCUGAAGGAUAUUUAUGGGAUGACUGGACAUACAUCACUCAACUCCAUGGCGUUGGGAAAUGCCUAUGCAAUAUUUGUUAGAGGGUAGUGGAGGCGCAUAAUACCCGCAGAUCAUAUGCUAGACAGGUACCAGAAAAUUCGCAGACGGUGUUGAGUUCGUGAAAAGCCCCCUAAACUGAUCAGCAAACCAGAAAAGCUGCAGUUAUAAAAGUAAAGCCAAAAAUUUAAAUCAAAAUAUCACAACCAAGUCAUUCAAGAGCUAAAAAUGAUGCAAGUAUUUGGUAUUUGUUUAGGGCCUCUUUAGCAUGAACCAAUAGCAAAUUAGAGUAAGAACAGUUAUAAGGCAUGAAUGCAAUUGCUGCAACAGUUUCACCAGAAAGGUUUGAACCCGGUUGCUCAGUAUUCAUUUUAUAAUCGGUUCGUGGCAUUGUAAUGUCUUAAGUGCGCAGCGCGCUCCCAACAGAAGAAAAUUAAUAGUUAUGUGAAUAUGACCUUUGUGUAUCAAGCCCGUAUAAAUAAUCUGAGAUUUAGCUUAGUAAUUUGAUUGUUUUGUGACAAUAUUCAUUAAGGUUAGGCUGGGUUGAGGUUCUUUUUGCACCUGUGCUAUUGUAAAAGGGUUUUCUUUUUUGACAUUUUCAAGGCCUUGAGUUGUUUGCUUUGUAUCUUGUUCUCCAGUG